This 288-nucleotide ribosomal RNA is filed under the name uncultured bacterium. RNAcentral describes it as "partial 16S ribosomal RNA". It matches the Rfam family "Bacterial small subunit ribosomal RNA", at positions 773 to 1060 of the family's 1533-position model. The record is from RNAcentral.
GUGGAUUAGAUACCCUGGUAGUCCACGCCGUAAACGGUGGGUACUAGGUGUGGGUUUCCUUCCUUGGGAUCCGUGCCGUAGCUAACGCAUUAAGUACCCCGCCUGGGGAGUACGGCCGCAAGGCUAAAACUCAAAGGAAUUGACGGGGGCCCGCACAAGCGGCGGAGCAUGUGGAUUAAUUCGAUGCAACGCGAAGAACCUUACCUGGGUUUGACAUGCACAGGACGUGCCUAGAGAUAGGUAUUCCCUUGUGGCCUGUGUGCAGGUGGUGCAUGGCCGUCGUCAACU